GUGAACGCUGGCGGUAGGCCUAACACAUGCAAGUCGAACGGCAGCACAGUAAGAGCUUGCUCUUACGGGUGGCGAGUGGCGGACGGGUGAGGAAUACAUCGGAAUCUACUUUUUCGUGGGGGAUAACGUAGGGAAACUUACGCUAAUACCGCAUACGACCUACGGGUGAAAGCAGGGGAUCUUCGGACCUUGCGCGAUUGAAUGAGCCGAUGUCGGAUUAGCUAGUUGGCGGGGUAAAGGCCCACCAAGGCGACGAUCCGUAGCUGGUCUGAGAGGAUGAUCAGCCACACUGGAACUGAGACACGGUCCAGACUCCUACGGGAGGCAGCAGUGGGGAAUAUUGGACAAUGGGCGCAAGCCUGAUCCAGCCAUACCGCGUGGGUGAAGAAGGCCUUCGGGUUGUAAAGCCCUUUUGUUGGGAAAGAAAAGCAGCAGGUUAAUAACCCGCUGUUCUGACGGUACCCAAAGAAUAAGCACCGGCUAACUUCGUG
RNAcentral lists this ribosomal RNA (491 nucleotides) under uncultured bacterium. RNAcentral's name for it is "partial 16S ribosomal RNA". It matches the Rfam family "Bacterial small subunit ribosomal RNA", at positions 29 to 507 of the family's 1533-position model. The record is from RNAcentral.